GAAUACGUUCCCGGGCCUUGUACACACCGCCCGUCACACCAUGGGAGUGGGUUGCAAAAGAAGUAGGUAGCUUAACCUUCGGGAGGGCGCUUACCACUUUGUGAUUCAUGACUGGGGUGAAGUCGUAACAAGGUAACCGUAGGGGAACCUGCGGUUGGAUCACCUCCUUACCUUAAAGAAGC
RNAcentral lists this ribosomal RNA (182 nucleotides) under Escherichia coli. RNAcentral's name for it is "partial 16S ribosomal RNA". It matches the Rfam family "Bacterial small subunit ribosomal RNA", at positions 1364 to 1533 of the family's 1533-position model. The record is from RNAcentral. Lineage: Bacteria; Pseudomonadati; Pseudomonadota; Gammaproteobacteria; Enterobacterales; Enterobacteriaceae. RNAcentral also lists the same sequence under 1 other name.